CUACGGGUUGCACCAGCGGGGAAUAUUGCACAAUGGGCGCAAGCCUGAUGCAGCCAUGCCGCGUGUAUGAAGAAGGCCUUCGGGUUGUAAAGUACUUUCAGCGGGGAGGAAGGGAGUAAAGUUAAUACCUUUGCUCAUUGACGUUACCCGCAGAAGAAGCACCGGCUAACUCCGUGCCAGCAGCCGCGUGUAAUACGGAGGGUGCAAGCGUUAAUCGGAAUUACUGGGCGUAAAGCGCACGCAGGCGGUUUGUUAAGUCAGAUGUGAAAUCCCCGGGCUCAACCUGGGAACUGCAUCUGAUACUGGCAAGCUUGAGUCUCGUAGAGGGGGGUAGAAUUCCAGGUGUAGCGGUGAAAUGCGUAGAGAUCUGGAGGAAUACCGGUGGCGAAGGCGGCCCCCUGGACGAAGACUGACGCUCAGGUGCGAAAGCGUGGGGAGCAAACAGGAUUAGAUACCCCCGUAGUC
RNAcentral lists this ribosomal RNA (465 nucleotides) under uncultured bacterium. RNAcentral describes it as "partial 16S ribosomal RNA". It matches the Rfam family "Bacterial small subunit ribosomal RNA", at positions 339 to 795 of the family's 1533-position model. The record is from RNAcentral.